AAUUCUGUACAAUUUGCCACCUUGGAAAUGCAUGAAGAAAGAAUAUAUGACGAUGAAUAUUUUGAUGAUCGAGGAUCCAGGUAUUAAAUUAUAACCACAACACUUGGUCAAUCUUUACAAUUUCGUACAAUUUGCCACCUUGGAAAUGCAUGAAGAAAGAAUAUAUGAUGAUGACUAUGUUGAUAACCGAGGGUUCGGAUGUUCACCUUGCGAGCAGUAGUGAUGUGGACUAUAAAUGAUUUUUCAACGUAUGUUAUGAUGUUCAAGUGGAGUCUUAAGGGUUAUUUUGCAUGCCCAGUUUGCAAGGAGGACACAACAUCUUCUUGGCACGCCGUUAAAGUUUGUUACCUAGGGCAACGUAGAUGGUUGUUGUGAGACCACGAGUGGCAUCAGAAUGAGACAACACUCUUCCACGGAACAGAGAUUCAACCAAGACACAGAGAAUGGCCCGGAGAAAAUAUUUUAUUGCCCUUGAAUCGUUUGGAUUUUGGUCCUUUUGGAAAAUUGAUAAAUAAGACCACACUAAACACCCA
Pyrus x bretschneideri (Chinese white pear) is the source of this 533-nucleotide long non-coding RNA. RefSeq lists it as uncharacterized. Lineage: Eukaryota; Viridiplantae; Streptophyta; Magnoliopsida; Rosales; Rosaceae. The record is from RefSeq and is a predicted model, not a curated record. The transcript has 3 exons.